UAGUCUUCAUAUUAACAGGAGGAGGUAAUACUAGUCUUCAUAUUAACAGGAGGUAAUACUAGUCUUCAUAACAGGAGGAGGUAAUACUAGUCAUCAUAGGAG
Oncorhynchus mykiss (rainbow trout) is the source of this 102-nucleotide non-coding RNA. The record is from RefSeq and is a predicted model, not a curated record. NCBI's taxonomy places the organism in Eukaryota, Metazoa, Chordata, Actinopteri, Salmoniformes, Salmonidae.